GCUCAGAUUGAACGCUGGCGGCAGGCCUAACACAUGCAAGUCGAGCGGUAGAGAGAAGCUUGCUUCUCUUGAGAGCGGCGGACGGGUGAGUAAUGCCUAGGAAUCUGCCUGGUAGUGGGGGAUAACGUUCGGAAACGGACGCUAAUACCGCAUACGUCCUACGGGAGAAAGCAGGGGACCUUCGGGCCUUGCGCUAUCAGAUGAGCCUAGGUCGGAUUAGCUAGUUGGUGAGGUAAUGGCUCACCAAGGCGACGAUCCGUAACUGGUCUGAGAGGAUGAUCAGUCACACUGGAACUGAGACACGGUCCAGACUCCUACGGGAGGCAGCAGUGGGGAAUAUUGGACAAUGGGCGAAAGCCUGAUCCAGCCAUGCCGCGUGUGUGAAGAAGGUCUUCGGAUUGUAAAGCACUUUAAGUUGGGAGGAAGGGCAGUAAAUUAAUACUUUGCUGUUUUGACGUUACCGACA
This 466-nucleotide ribosomal RNA is filed under the name Pseudomonas sp. A73. RNAcentral's name for it is "bacterial SSU rRNA". It matches the Rfam family "Bacterial small subunit ribosomal RNA", at positions 22 to 483 of the family's 1533-position model. Lineage: Bacteria; Pseudomonadati; Pseudomonadota; Gammaproteobacteria; Pseudomonadales; Pseudomonadaceae. The record is from RNAcentral.